AGUGAACGCUGGCGGUAGGCCUAACACAUGCAAGUCGAACGGCAGCACAGUAAGAGCUUGCUCUUACGGGUGGCGAGUGGCGGACGGGUGAGGAAUACAUCGGCAUCUACUUUUUCGUGGGGGAUAACGUAGGGAAACUUACGCUACUACCGCAUAUGACCUACGGGUGAAAGCAGGGGAUCUUCGGACCUUGCGCGAUUGAAUGAGCCGAUGUCGGAUUAGCUAGUUGGCGGGGUAAAGGCACACCAAGGCGACGAUCCGUAGCUGGUCUGAGAGGAUGAUCAGCCACACUGGAACUGAGACACGGUCCAGACUCCUACGGGAGGCAGCAGUGGGGAAUAUUGGACAAUGGGCGCAAGCCUGAUCCAGCCAUACCGCGUGGGUGAAGAAGGCCUUCGGGUUGUAAAGCCCUGUUGUUAGGAAAGAAAAGCAGCAGGUUAAUACCCCGCUGUUCUGACGGUACCCAAAGAAUAAGCACCGGCUAACUUCGUG
This 492-nucleotide ribosomal RNA is filed under the name uncultured bacterium. RNAcentral describes it as "partial 16S ribosomal RNA". It matches the Rfam family "Bacterial small subunit ribosomal RNA", at positions 29 to 507 of the family's 1533-position model. The record is from RNAcentral.